Molecule: long non-coding RNA, 4149 nt
Organism: Equus asinus (donkey)
Lineage: Eukaryota; Metazoa; Chordata; Mammalia; Perissodactyla; Equidae
Source: Ensembl
AAACCCUGUUGGCUUCCUGGUUGUUUGUGACUCAAUUAAAUUAACAAAUUGGUCUCUUUGCCCAGAGUCUUUCCACCGCCUGUAUUUCAGCAUAUGUCAGUCAGGGCGGCCCAGCAUCUCCAGAUGGCUUCGAGCUCCCUCUACAUAUCCGAUGCCAGCUCAUCACUGGAGAAGUGUGUGUGUGUGGGGAGAGUCCCAGAGACAGAGACAUAAAGCCACAGUGGGGAGAGACGGAAAUGAGGUAGGCAAGACAGAAAGAAUGAGAGGGAGGAAGAGGGAAGGGACAGAAGGCAGGAGAGCCUAGAUUCUUCCUCCUAGUCUAAAAGGACCCUCACCUUCGGGGCUGGGCCUGUGGCCAAGUGGUUAAGGUUCCACACUUUCUGCUUGGGAGGCCUGGGUUCACAGGUUCAGAUCCCAGAUGCGGCCCUACUCCACUCAUCAGCCAUGCUGUGGAGGCAUCCCACAUACAAAGUAGAGGAAGAUGGGCACAGAUGUUAGUUCAGGGCUAAUAUUCCUCAAAUGAAAAGAUAAAAAAAAUAAAAGGACCCUAACCUUCCUGCAGGGAGGGUCUCUCCUCCACGAGGUUGGUGGGGGGUGUCUGAAGAAGACUCUCUCAGCCUCGAGUUCUCUGGCAGACAGUGAAAUUGGUGGUUCUCAAAGUGUGUUCCCUGGACCAGCAGCUCAGCAUGACUUGGGAGCUUGUCAGAAGUGCAAAUUCUCCUGCCUCACCCCAGACCUCCUGAAUCAAAGACUGCGGGGUAGGGCCCAGCAUCUGUGUUUUAACAAGCCCUCCAGGUGUUUCUGCUGCACGCUCGAGUUUGAGAACCACACCCUGAAGUUGCAGUGCUUGGCCUCCAGUGCUGUGAACUGCUCUCAGUCCCCGCCACGGGGCUGCUGUCUUCCAAGAGGAGUGACGUGGGUGGUCUUGAGAGCUGGCACCAUCUUCAGAGUCACUCAAAUGAUACCUCUGUAGCCUUCAAUUACCUGUAGGAAUUGGGGGAACAGGAGGAAGUGUCAAGGAACAGCCCAGAGGAAGAAAAAAGACAACCUGGAGAAAAGGAUGCUUAGAAGGGCAAGGCUGCAGCUGGUGCGUGCAGCUCUUAAGUAGCAGGCUCUCAGCUCCUGCCAUGCAGGACGAUGAUGGAAAGGGGGCACUAAUGGGAAAGCAGUCUGACCCCAGCUUCAGGUGAAUUUGAUGGAGGGUCAAUUUGGGGAUAAUUGUGGUGCGCUGUCUGGAUUCUGCUGGGAGAGGGCAGAUGGGGACAGGAGCAGGGAUGGGUAGAGGGUAGAAGGGAGAGGAGUGGGGGGCAGGGAGGGAGAGAGAUGCUGGGGAACAGGGGGCCCAGGCAGAGGCCCCUGCUCCAGGCCUGGAGUUUCCAGAAGACCAUCAUCAUUGUCCAGCCAUCCACAUUGUUCUUCUGGCUUCUGAGGCUGGAGACCAGGGGUGAGGAGCUUGGUGUGGCCCUCAAGGAGAGGCCUGUUCUCAUUUCAGCGGGUGUGGGUAUUAAGUUUGGUCCAUGUGCUGGCAGUGGGCAGGAUGGUCAGUGACCUCAAACUCAAAGUCUUCAGGCUCCGGGCAGAUAACAUAAGAGAGAAGCACAGCCUGGGAGGAAAUGCCAGGGCAGACACUGUCUCCUGGGGAUUGUGUGAACUGGAAAUACAGGCCCUGUCUAGACCGUUCAGCAGCCACCAGACUCCAGCCUGUUAGCACCCAGAAACGUCACUCCCCGCCACCAGGCUGAUCAAAUCCAGAUGGAGGUAUACAGCAGCAGGUCCUGCAAGAGAAGUUACAAGAAGCUCACAUACUGCCUGCGUGCCAGGGGCAGCUCUGUCUGGGCUGGCCGUGGGGAACGGGGCUUCGAAGGGUCCCAGACUCCAUUCUGCAGCGAUGCGGGGCAGCAAAGCAUUUUACAGUGAGGACCACCAUUGUCUGAUCCCUCUAAGAAUGGGUCUUGAAUUUCUGAUGCCAGUUUCUCCCUCAAGGGCCAGGGUAAUGCUGGGCAUCCUGCGUGCAUUCUUUCCAUAAGCCCCCUGCCUUCAGGAAUAUAAAAUGUUUAUCUUUUCUGCUUGACACAGCACAGCUGAGAACCAAAAAGUGAAAUAACCUGUGCUGAGUCAUCAGCCGGGAGGCGGGGGAUUGGAGGCAGGAAAAAUAAAUGUAGCAUCUCCCCCUGGGGGCUCCCGUCAAAGACUGUCGAAGGGAGGGUCCGACAGGUAGGGAGGAGAGGGGGGAGCUUGAGGAGCAGGACUCCCCGUGGUCUGUACUGGUCCAGGAACCCCUUUGGCUGUGGCCUUGAGCAGCAGCUGCAGCUCCUCUCACCUUUCCCUCCUCCAGAUGUCCUCAAACAUCCUAAUAUUUAUUUCUACUUGGGAACAGCAGCAAAUCAACAAAGGCAUGUCAAGGACGCCCUCACCUUCCUCUAUGAGGCUCCGAGCCCUAUUUCUGAUUUUCUAAUUGGUAUGUCUGGGCAUCAGGGGGAGUUCAUUGUGGUUGGAAAACCAGAGGUCUCAGGAUACCUGCAAACUAUUAAAAGUGGUUUCUCUUUUUAAACAUUUUGUAUUAAAGAGCAUGGUUACGUUUUUACUUCCUAUCCUUCUGUACGAUUUGAGGGUUUUUUAAACGAAAACAAAGAGCAGGUACGUUAUUUUAAUAUUUUAAAAACAAGAAAAAAUAAAAGAAGUCUUAAAGCGAAAUUAUUAUUUGUACUGAACUGCUCACUCUUGUUUAUAUCCGUUUUGUUUUCGUUGGUGGCGCUAAACUCCGAAUGCAUCAGGAGCGAGUGAAUUCAACUCUGGGGCUGCUUUGAACUCUCGUCUCUGCCAAUUAACCCUCCCGGGGAAGGCUGAAGCGCCUCUUAGAAGUGGCAGAAUGCGAGAGAAGCAAUCACCUAGCUGUGUGAACUUGGGAAGGAAUCUGGAGAUGUGACUGCUUCACGAACAGACCUUCAACCAAUUCUCCUAAUUUUUGCACCCUUCCCCGUCACCUCCACUUCCAGAAGUAACUGGUGCUGGCAGUUUUCGAGACUUCUGGGGAUUCUGGCUCACAAAUCGGGGUGGUUUUCCACAUUCUGCACUGUUGGCUUAGGAUUUAAUUUUUUCUCCAUUUUCUUGGGUCUGCUAAGUAAAUUAUCCCUUAUCUAGCUGCUUUUCACAUUUCAAAUUUUGCUGCUGUUUUCUACCCUCCCAUUUUCCCCAUUCAUGUGAGUCUGUGCCUUAAAAAAAGUCUCUUUACUAGCAUUUUAAUGGGAUUUCCAUAGAGAAUGAAAUCAAGGGUUUGCAUCUUUACACAAAACUCCCUGCUGUUCAAAUUCCCCUUCUUUUUCCCAUCCAUUUAUUCUUCCACCUAGAAAUCACGGCAGUGAAAACAAAGAAAUGCAUAACCUUAGUCGUAAGCUGUAAAGCAUUACAUUUAGUGGGAGAAUCAAAAAAGGGGCGAGGAGGUGUGAGGAAGGACGUGAAUUAUGUGUAUGUAUUAGGAAAGUGUAUCGAGCAUGAACACAGCUUAAUCUCGAUACUUUUGGAAUACACAUUUUAGGAAACAGGGCUGAACAAUGUCUUGGUUUAUGAGAUUACACUGAAAAUACAGCAAUUCAUCCUCGAGGUAUACACUAGGACUUUCUUUCAGAAUUUCCAGAGAAAGAUGAGAUUUUAAUUUUGAUCCCAAGGGGGCACGAGUUUUAAAAAAGAGGCGGGGGCAGGAUUGGCCUAAGCUCCAUGCGAAGGAAGAUGCCCUCAAUGACACGCUGAACUCUGGCUCUCCAGGCUGGAGACCUUUUAGGAUAGGUCACCAGGCAAGAAGUGCUGAUGAGCUCACUCCACUCAGCGCAGGCCUCAGCCAGGUGUCUUGCAGGUAUGCUUGUCUUUCUUUGCAGGCCUUCCCUAAAUUUGUCAUUAAUAAUAGACUCCUUCCUUUUUUAUAAUGUCGAUUAAAAUCAUGUCCUCUAAAACAAUGGUUCUUAACUCUGUGCAGCAGAAUUACUGGUGGAUCUUUCAAAAAGACUCAUAUGAGCCCUACUUUCUAUGGGCUUGGGAACCACUGCUGGAAAGCAGCUUCAUGGAGGUGGUUCAGAGGAUCUGGGAACUUCUGGAAAUUAUAGGCAACGUUGAAUCUGCCCUUUUUUUUUUUUAAAGGACCAUAGCUUUCAUCAU